This 415-nucleotide ribosomal RNA is filed under the name Theridion theridioides. Its description in RNAcentral is "partial 16S ribosomal RNA". Lineage: Eukaryota; Metazoa; Arthropoda; Arachnida; Araneae; Theridiidae. The record is from RNAcentral.
CCUGCUCAAUGAUAUUUAAAUAGCCGCAGAUAUUCUGUGCUAAGGUAGCAUAAUCACUUGUUUUUUAAUUGAAAACUCGUAUGAAAGGUAAAACAUUUUAACUAAUAUAAUUUAUUUAUUAUUUUAAUUUAUACUAAAUAUAAAAAUAUAUUUAUCUUUAAAUUAGACGACAAGACCCUAUUAAACUUUACUAUUGUUUAACUGGGGCAGUUAUAUAAUUAUUACUUUAUUAAAUUUUACUAACAAAUAUAUCCAAUAUAAUUGAUUAUUUUACUAAGUUACUAUAGGGAUAACAGCAUAAUAUUAUUUAUAAGCUCUUAUUCAAAAUAAUGUUUGUGACCUCGAUGUUGAAUUAUUAUCCUCUAUUAUCGCAAUAGAUAUAAAAGUAGGUCUGUUCGACCUUUAAUAUAAUACA